UUGACAGAAGUUAUGUCAGUUUAUAAUUACAUUACGCAAUUUAAUGAGUAACAGUGAGUAAAAUUCACUGGAGCGCUGUUUGUUGCAUUUCUCCUCAAUUCAAGACCGUGCUGCCAUGUGUGGAGGAAACGAUCAACUAAAUCCUUAGAAAUUGAGCAUCCCUCAUUUCACUAGCUUUAGACGCCUGUUAGAAUAGACUCCCAUGUAUACAAUAUGCUUGGUGUUGCCAUCUGGCAACAGGAAGUAUGCCCGAAAAACGAAACGAAAAUUAGCAUUGCCAAACAGCAAUACCACACAGUGUAGGAUGAAUUUUCUUUCAGUGCGUCUAUGUGGGUUAUUUGUGUUUACGGCGUAUUCUCAUAAGAAAUGGCUUCAGUAUUUAAGUUGCAAUCAUCGUAACCUUUUGUUGGUCAGAAAUUGUGUAGUAACUGUAUUUUAACUUCAGUACCGCUCAAAUAUUAGGUUUCAGUAACAUGUUCCUGCCCGUCAUCUCCAUACUAAUAGUAUAGAGAUCACUGGUUCCUGCACACUUGAAAACUUUUGAAUGUUCAAAAUUACAUCUGUGACCAUAUGUUUCUGAAGUGGAAGUCCAAAGAAGAGACGACUGUGAGAAGCAGCUUUUUGUGUGUUUUAUGGUUUAUAGGCCUACUGGAAAACUCGCCAUGUAAGACAAACGAGUAAUUUCUCAAGCUUGGUACCUCUAUGGUGAUGUGGAAAUCCGAGUGUUGUUAAUAAAGAAAUUAAAUUCA
Long non-coding RNA from Schistocerca americana (American grasshopper), 749 nucleotides. RefSeq lists it as uncharacterized. NCBI's taxonomy places the organism in Eukaryota, Metazoa, Arthropoda, Insecta, Orthoptera, Acrididae. The transcript is spliced from 2 exons. The record is from RefSeq and is a predicted model, not a curated record.